AUUGAACGCUGGCGGCAUGCCUUACACAUGCAAGUCGAACGGCAGCAUGGAAGAGCUUGCUCUUCUGAUGGCGAGUGGCGAACGGGUGAGUAAAGCAUCGGAACGUACCGUGUAGUGGGGGAUAACGUAGCGAAAGUUACGCUAAUACCGCAUACGCACUGAGGUGGAAAGCAGGGGAUCGCAAGACCUUGCGCUAUACGAGCGGCCGAUGUCAGAUUAGCUAGUUGGUAGGGUAAAGGCCUACCAAGGCGACGAUCUGUAUCGGGUCUGAGAGGAUGAUCCGCCAAACUGGGACGGAGACACGGCCCAGACUCCUACGGGAGGCAGCAGUGGGGAAUUUUGGACAAUGGGGGAAACCCUGAUCCAGCCAUGCCGCGUGAGGGAAGAAGGCCUUCGGGUUGUAAAGCUCUUUCGGCUGGGAAGAAAUCGCACAGGCUAAUACUCUGUGUGGAUGACGGUACCAGCACAAGAAGCACCGGCUAACUACGUGCCAGCCGCCGCAGUAA
RNAcentral lists this ribosomal RNA (506 nucleotides) under uncultured bacterium. Its description in RNAcentral is "partial 16S ribosomal RNA". It matches the Rfam family "Bacterial small subunit ribosomal RNA", at positions 30 to 523 of the family's 1533-position model. The record is from RNAcentral.